Molecule: ribosomal RNA, 388 nt
Filed under: uncultured bacterium
Lineage: Bacteria
Description: bacterial SSU rRNA
Rfam family: Bacterial small subunit ribosomal RNA
Source: RNAcentral
GACGAACGCUGGCGGCGUGCUUAACACAUGCAAGUCGAGCGGUAAGGCCCUUUCGGGGUACGACGAGCGGCGAACGGGUGAGUAACACGUGGGUGACCUGCCCUCAGCUCUGGGAUAAGCCUGGGAAACGUGGGUCUAAUACCGGAUAUGACCCCAUGACGCAUGUCGUGGGGUGGAAAGCCUUGUGCGGCUGAGGAUGGGCCCGCGGCCUAUCAGCUUGUUGGUGGGGUGAUGGCCCACCAAGGCGACGACGGGUAGCCGGCCUGAGAGGGCGACCGGCCACACUGGGACUGAGACACGGCCCAGACUCCUACGGGAGGCAGCAGUGGGGAAUCUUGCGCAAUGGGCGAAAGCCUGACGCAGCGACGCCGCGUGAGGGAUGACGGCC